UGAAGCAAGAAUGGGAAAGAAUUCCAUCUACAAAGCUUCAGCAAUUAGUGUCCUCAGUUCCCAAAUGCUUAUUGAGUGUUGUUAGAAGGAAAGGUGAUGUUGUUGGGGUUUUAUCUGGUUGGGUUGUUUUGGGGAUUUUGGAUAGGGUUCUGCCCCAUGUCCUUCCUGUCCAGUCUUCCUCUGUUUGGUUGCUUCCCAGGUUCUGGGUAUGCAUGCGUGUGUGUGUGUGUGUGCAUGGAAGUGAGCAUGGGUCAGGUCUCCUCUGUUUGGCUGCUUCCCAGGUUCCGGGUUUGCAUGUGUGUGUGUAUGUGUGUGUGUGUGUGUGUGUGUGUGUGUGUGUGAAAGUGUGAUUGUCUCCCUGUCGGUCUCAUAUGAGCGUGCGUGUGUUCCCGAAGGUGUGUCAAGGGUUUCCUUCCCUUCGUGUCUCUUUCUCCUGACUCACCUGCCGUUGCCAUGGUCACGCUUGACAGUCGAUAUGAGGUGUUACAGCUCCUCUCAUAUUGCUUCUGUUCUCUUUCCCUCCUUAUGGUUUAGAAUCUCCGUUUUCACUGUCGGUUUCCGAUUAUGUGUAUCUGUUAAUCUGCUCUGGUGUUAUGUCACAUUUCUAGUCCAUUGUGUAGUCUUGGUUUUCUUGUUGGAUGUGAAGCUCUAGUGUUUUUCCUCCCGCUCAUUGUCUCCACCUGUGUUUCCCCAUGUGUGUCACGUAAUUCCCACACCUGUGAUAAUCUGGUAGCGGUUAUUUAAGUCACACCUGUUUUUCUUUGUUGCCAGUGUUCUGUCGAGAUGUGUGGGUCUGUUAAUUUAGGCGUCCCCACACCUAAAUUAACAGUUCCGUGGGUCGGGAUGACCUUUAACCCCAUCGAGUUGUGCGCCCAGUCGCGCUUCACUUUCACUGAAUGAUUCUUGACCAAGUUAGCUUUUAUUGACAGACAAAUAAAUGUAUAAAUUGUUCAUCCGAACACAGUAAUGUGUAAAAUAAGUAUUCUUAACCUGGAGACUAUUUGUUUUAUUAUUAUUAUUGUUAUGAUAAUCGUUUGUCAAACUUGCGCCUCAGUGUCUUUUGGACUUUAUUGGACAGAGAAAUUAUUAUAAUUAAAGUUCAGUUGAUAUUGGCCCAUAGGAAAAACAUGUACAAUAAAAAUAUUAGUUUUAGCCUCCAAUAAAAUGUGCUGUUGUGAUUCCAGCAGUGCAUACUUGUAUGUUUU
This is a long non-coding RNA of Thalassophryne amazonica, 1205 nucleotides long. RefSeq lists it as uncharacterized. The transcript has 3 exons. Lineage: Eukaryota; Metazoa; Chordata; Actinopteri; Batrachoidiformes; Batrachoididae. The record is from RefSeq and is a predicted model, not a curated record.